Molecule: microRNA precursor, 62 nt
Filed under: Mytilus galloprovincialis (Mediterranean mussel)
Lineage: Eukaryota; Metazoa; Mollusca; Bivalvia; Mytilida; Mytilidae
Source: RNAcentral
GCCUUUGGUAACCUAGCUUUAUAAUCUAUCAACUACAAUCAUACAGCUAGAUAACCAAAGAC